CGACCCCAGGUCAGGCGGGACUACCCGCUGAGUUUAAGCAUAUAAAUAAGCGGAGGAGAAGAAACUUACAAGGAUUCCCCUAGGUGCGGCGAGCGAACCGGGAACAGCCCAGCUUGAGAAUCGGGCGGCUGUGCCGUCCGAAUUGUAGUCUGGAGACGCGUCCUCAGCGACGGACCGCGGGCGCCCCAAGAAGGGGGGCGCCUGGG
Hordeum vulgare subsp. vulgare (domesticated barley) is the source of this 206-nucleotide non-coding RNA. Lineage: Eukaryota; Viridiplantae; Streptophyta; Magnoliopsida; Poales; Poaceae. The record is from Rfam.